Molecule: transfer RNA, 70 nt
Filed under: Marmota marmota marmota (Alpine marmot)
Lineage: Eukaryota; Metazoa; Chordata; Mammalia; Rodentia; Sciuridae
Also listed under: 1 other name
Rfam family: tRNA
About the family: Transfer RNA (tRNA) molecules are approximately 80 nucleotides in length.
Source: Rfam by way of RNAcentral
GGGUAUGGCUCAGUGGUAGAGUUCUUGUCUAGCAUGCACAAGGUUCUGGGUUUGAUUCCCAGCAUGUCCC